GAGGAGCUAGUCCAACUUAAGACAACUGAUUUCGACUUAGUUAAUUAUGGUUUAAACCCAUAGCUCCUCU
This 70-nucleotide transfer RNA is filed under the name Elachistocleis ovalis (common oval frog). RNAcentral's name for it is "tRNA-Arg". It matches the Rfam family "tRNA". From Rfam's summary of the family: Transfer RNA (tRNA) molecules are approximately 80 nucleotides in length. Their secondary structure includes four short double-helical elements and three loops (D, anti-codon, and T loops). The record is from RNAcentral. Lineage: Eukaryota; Metazoa; Chordata; Amphibia; Anura; Microhylidae.